AGUUUUUUUUUGGGUUUAGUGAUUAGUGUUUUGAAUUUAGUUUUGGAAGGUUUGAGUUGAUGUUGGGGUAAGAACAUUUCAAAAUCAGAACAAAAUGUACUAUACUAUUUCGUUUGUUACUAUUCUAUUUUAAUAAUACUUCAUAUUAUAUACUAUUUGCAUAUUUUGAUAUUUGGAUUAGGGUUUAUAGUUUCUUUUAGGGUUUAGUGAUUAGUGUUUUGAAUUUAGUUUUGGAAGGUUUGGGUUGACGUUUGGGUAAAAACAUUUUAAAAUCAGAACAAUAUGUACUAUACUAUUUCGUUUGUUACUAUUCUAUUUUAAUAAUA
This 326-nucleotide long non-coding RNA is filed under the name Brassica napus (rape). RNAcentral's name for it is "long non-coding RNA (BNAP_LNC012724)". The record is from RNAcentral. Lineage: Eukaryota; Viridiplantae; Streptophyta; Magnoliopsida; Brassicales; Brassicaceae.